Monopterus albus (swamp eel) is the source of this 525-nucleotide long non-coding RNA. RefSeq lists it as uncharacterized. The record is from RefSeq and is a predicted model, not a curated record. The transcript has 4 exons. Lineage: Eukaryota; Metazoa; Chordata; Actinopteri; Synbranchiformes; Synbranchidae.
CAUGAAUGGAUGAAGCGUCCUGAGCUGCAGCAUCUGACUGCCUCAGAGCCACUGACCCUGGAACAGGAGUACGACAUGCAGGGGAGCUGGAGGGAAGAUGAUGACAAGAGAAAAGUAAAAUCUUUGGUUGAGCCGAUCAUACAGCAGUGGCUGGAAAGAGAAUGAGAGAAGUUUGGUUGUAGUGGAGAUUCAAGAUGGAUGACAGCAUGAGGCGUUCUGCUACUCAGGCUGUUUGUAAACUGACACACACCGUUUACGAGGAUUUAGCACCAGACAGUUUCCCAGUCGCCUCCUUCCUGUCCCCUGCAGACCCACUUCCUUUUUUUAAUCAAAGGAUGAUCCAGAAAGUGGUGAGGCCUAACAGCGCUGCCUGGUGGAGCACUGGAGCCAGACAGACAGAUUGCACACAACAGGAGACAAAUGAGCAGAGACUCGUGGUUGAGACUGGUGUGUUGUUGGAGCCCCUCAGGGAUCCAGUCCUCCUCCUCCUCCUCAUCACUGCUGUUCUUCUGGAGGUUUUCAUGU